Molecule: ribosomal RNA, 253 nt
Filed under: uncultured bacterium
Lineage: Bacteria
Description: partial 16S ribosomal RNA
Rfam family: Bacterial small subunit ribosomal RNA
Source: RNAcentral
UACGAAGGUGGCUAGCGUUGUUCGGAAUUACUGGGCGUAAAGGGCUCGUAGGCGGCCAACUAAGUCAGACGUGAAAUCCCUCGGCUUAACCGGGGAACUGCGUCUGAUACUGGAUGGCUUGAGUUUGGGAGAGGGAUGCGGAAUUCCAGGUGUAGCGGUGAAAUGCGUAGAUAUCUGGAGGAACACCGGUGGCGAAGGCGGCAUCCUGGACCAACACUGACACUGAGGAGCGAAAGCCAGGGGAGCAAACGGG